GAUGAACGCUAGCGGCAGGCCUAAUACAUGCAAGUCGAACGGGGUGAUUCAGCAAUGGAUCAUUCAGUGGCGCACGGGUGCGUAACGCGUAUGCAACCUACCUUAAACUGGGGGAUAGCCUUCCGAAAGGGAGAUUAAUACCGCAUAAUACUAUUUGAUGGCAUCUGAAGAUAGUUAAAGAUUUAUUGGUUUAAGAUGGGCAUGCGUGCCAUUAGCUAGUUGGUAGUGUAAUGGCCUACCAAGGCUACGAUGGCUAGGGGUUCUGAGAGGAUGAUCCCCCACACUGGUACUGAGAUACGGACCAGACUCCUACGGGAGGCAGCAGUAGGGAAUAUUGGGCAAUGGACGCAAGUCUGACCCAGCCAUGCCGCGUGCAGGAUGAAGGCCUUCUGGGUUGUAAACUGCUUUUAUCUAGGAAGAAAACACCCAUGCGUGGGAAACUGACGGUACUAGAUGAAUAAGCACCGGCUAACUCCGUGC
This 480-nucleotide ribosomal RNA is filed under the name uncultured bacterium. RNAcentral describes it as "bacterial SSU rRNA". It matches the Rfam family "Bacterial small subunit ribosomal RNA", at positions 28 to 508 of the family's 1533-position model. The record is from RNAcentral.